This 755-nucleotide long non-coding RNA is filed under the name Homo sapiens (human). Its description in RNAcentral is "non-protein coding LNCPRESS1:20". The record is from RNAcentral. Lineage: Eukaryota; Metazoa; Chordata; Mammalia; Primates; Hominidae.
ACUUGGGGCCCGUUUCCACCUAGGACUACAGGCUCAAGAUGGCCUGGUAGAUGCAGCCGGCACGCACCUCUCCUCUGACGGGAACCGAAGGAGCCGGUAGGUUUUCACACUUGCAGCAGAUCCGCUAAGAGAACGCGGGAUUCAGCCGAGAAGCCACGGGGAGCCCGAGGAGCGGAGCAGAGGCACCCAGGCAGCCUGCGCGGAGAAAUUGGAUCGGCGGGGACGGCCUGCAGCUCCCGCGCGCGGGGAAAGGGAAGAAGUCCUCCCCUACAAAGCAAAUUCACAAACUUGGAAGAAGCAAUUUACACAGGAUGUGCAGAUCUCAAUGGAAGGACACGGGAAACGUGAAAAAGCAAGGAAGUGGGACGCCUCCAAAGGAACCCAGUAAUUCUCCAGCAACAGAUCCCCAUCCAAAAGAAAUUCAAGAAAUGUCAUAUAGAGAAUUGUGGAAACUGAUUUUAACCAAGAUUAGAGGGAUUCAAGAGACUUCUGAAAAAGAAAGUAAGGAAAUGUCAACAGCAAUUCUGGAUAUGGUUGAGGUAUUUACCAACCAGAUACAGAGUUUUCCAGAGCACAUGGCAAAUGUGGAACUGAAGAAAUCACUGGAUGAAAUACAAAGUAUACUCGAAAGCUUCAAUGAUAGACUAGAUCAAGCAGAAAAAAAACUCUCAAAACUUAAAAUCUGAAGGCUUUUACUCAAUUCAAAUAUUUAAUGGGUUGUACUCUGGCCAUUCAGGUGAACAAAAUCUGCUGGG